AAUGCAGUUCCCAGGUUGAGCCCGGGGAUUUCACAUCUGUCUUACAUAACCGCCUGCGCACGCUUUACGCCCAGUAAUUCCGAUUAACGCUCGCACCCUACGUAUUACCGCGGCUGCUGGCACGUAGUUAGCCGGUGCUUAUUCUUACGGUACCGUCAUGGGCCUCUCGUAUUAGGAGAAGCUUUUUCGUUCCGUACAAAAG
RNAcentral lists this ribosomal RNA (202 nucleotides) under Delftia acidovorans. RNAcentral's name for it is "partial 16S rRNA". The record is from RNAcentral. Lineage: Bacteria; Pseudomonadati; Pseudomonadota; Betaproteobacteria; Burkholderiales; Comamonadaceae.